Molecule: ribosomal RNA, 1450 nt
Filed under: metagenome
Description: SSU rRNA
Rfam family: Eukaryotic small subunit ribosomal RNA
Source: RNAcentral
GGUAACGGAGAAUCAGGGUUCGAUUCCGGAGAAGGAGCUCGAGAAUUGGCUACUACAUCUAAGGAAGGCAGCAGGCGCGCAAAUUACCCAACCCCGAUUCGGGGAGGUAGUGACAAAAAAUAACAAUACCGGGCCUUUUUGGGCUUGGUAAUUGGAAUGAGGGAGAGUUAAACGGACCAUCGAGUAUCCAUUGGAGGGCAAGUCUGGUGCCAGCAGCUGCGGUAAUACCAGCUCCAAUAGCGUAUAUUAAAGUUGUUGCAGUUAAAAAGCUCGUAGUUGGACUUGUGUGCGCUGUCCGCGGGUGGCCUGCGCCCAAAAGGGCGUUUCGGUUCGGCCCCGGUGGCGCCUUGAAAUCUGCAGCUGGGGGGACGUUGGCCUUAACUGGUCGGCGACCGCACGCCGGCUGCUCGGUUACUGUGAGAAAAUUAGAGUGUUCAAGGCAGGCAUUGGGUGCAAUUGAAUACAUUAGCAUGGAAUAAUAAAAUAUGGCUCCUGCCGUAUUUUGUUGGUUUUGACUGGUGGGAGUAAUGAUUGAUAGGGACGGUUGGGGGUGCUAGUAUUGAGCGGCCAGAGGUGAAAUUCAUGGAUUCGCUCAAGACUAACUUAUGCGAAAGCAUUCACCAAGGACGUCCUCUUUAAUCAAGAACGAAAGUUGGGGGAUCGAAGACGAUCAGAUACCGUCGUAGUCUCAACCAUAAACUAUGUCGACUUGGGAUCGGCGGUAGUUUUUUCAUUAAGACACUGUCGGGACCACGGGAGAAAUCAAAGUGUCUGGACUCUGGGGGAAGUAUGGUCGCAAGGCUGAAACUUGAAGGAAUUGACGGAAGGGCACCACCAGGAGUGGAGCCUGCGGCUUAAUUUGACCCAACACGGGGAAACUUACCAGGUCCAGAGAUGUAGAGGAUUGACAGAUUGAAGCUCUUUCUUGAUCACUUCGGUGGUGGUGCAUGGCCGUUCUUAGUUGGUGGAGUGAUUUGUCUGGUUAAUUCCGUUAACGAACGAGACCUCAGCCUGCUAGUGUAGUCGGCUGGAUUGCCUUUGGCGAUCCGUGAUUUCGACUUCUUAGAGGGACAAUCGACGCGCAGUCGAUGGAAGUUUGAGGCAAUAACAGGUCUGUGAUGCCCUUAGAUGUUCUGGGCCGCACGCGCGCUACACUGCUGGGCUCAGCGAGUUUUACUUGGCCGAGAGGCCCGGUUAAUCUUGUGAAAUCCCAGCGUGCUUGGGCUCGCCUCCUGCAACUGGAGGCGCCAACGAGGAAUUCCUAGUAGACGCAGGUCAUCAACCUGCAUCGAUUACGUCCCUGCCCUUUGUACACACCGCCCGUCGUUCCAUAAGAGUGAGGCAUCCGGUGAAUUCUCGGGAGAGCCUGGGCGUGGCCAGCAAUGGUCUGCUCGGGUUUGAACUUGCAUAAACUUGGUGCCUAUGAUUAGGGAAAAGUCGUAACAAGGUU